CUUACCUUAGUAUAUCUUAAAGUAUUUUUAUUUUUCGUAUAGAUGGUGUGGCAUUUGCUUCAGGUAGGA
Molecule: transfer RNA, 69 nt
Filed under: Polylabris halichoeres
Lineage: Eukaryota; Metazoa; Platyhelminthes; Monogenea; Mazocraeidea; Microcotylidae
Description: tRNA-Glu
Source: RNAcentral